GGCCGCGUCGUCCUUCCCGCAAACGUUGCCGUGGGCCGUGGCUUCGUCCUCCCGCCUCCCAUCUCUCUCUCUCCCAUCGUCACGCAACCCUAGCACCGAGCAGCCCUCCGCCGCCAGUCUCGCCUCCUUGCCCAAGUCGCCUCCCGCUGGAAAAGUUCCCGCAGUCUCACCUCCUCGUCGCCGGACUCCCGACCACCGAGCGAAGCGCCGCGUCUAUACUCUCUCCCCAAGAAUCCAGCCACCUCUCCUCUCGGCCUCUCCAGCAUCCACACCUUGGCGACGGCCCUAUCGGCCUCUCCCCCACAUCCGGGGCCCUCACACCUCCUCCUCCAACGCCUCUGGUCUUCACCGUCUCUACCGCAUGGAUCCGGCGCCAUCGCCUCCCCCUUGACCGUCAGUAAUCCCCCUGCUUGUCCCUGUUCACCACCGCCCGACGCCCUCCAUAGAUCGUGACCAAGAGGAGCAGCACAUACCCUCAAAAAAAGAGGAGCAGCACGGAGUCAAUCUGGGCAUGGAGGCCCAGAUCCGACCUCCCCCCUCCUCCUUGCCCCUCUCUCUAAUUCAUUCUCUCAUAUUGCAAAUCAAUUUCGUUCGCGUUUUAGCAAAUCUGUAGCAAUCAGAUUAUUUACCAUGUAAUCCAUUUUUCCGUAGUGAAUUUUAGGUCACUGAUGCACGAAUCGAAGCAUGGUUUCAGUGAAUUUUGGGUCACUGGAUGGGCACUCGUCAAGGCCACAACCGCCGGCGAGCCUGUCGUCGCGGACUCGACGGACUGCUUGGCAGGAUCGGCUCCGGGUUCAGGUAGGUCGGCUUCUUGGCCUUCAUCUUCGCGUGGGAGAAGCUCAAUCCUCAAGCCCCCAUACGCAGUUGUGUGAACAAGGUGAUUUCUAAUCGACUGCACUUGUGCGGUUUAUUCUCAGAGCACAUGUACUACUACUUAGCGGUGAGGUUUCAAUGUUGAUUCUUUUGGGGACAAUCACAAUUAUUGCUCUCUUUCACUAACAAAGGUGAGCACUUCUCACCUAUAUGCACAUACGUUCGUUGAUUCAGCUAAAGCAGAUACUAGAUUGGUUGUGAAUCGUUUUUGGUAUAAUACUCACAGCUGGGUGAAUACCUAGAAGGUUGUUGUUUUCAUUGACAUUUCCGUCAAUAAAUUUAAUUGUACUACAUGAUAUGAAUUGAUGGUAAGAAGUUAAAUAGUUUAUCUUACCAGUAACUUUUACUUUAAUUCAAAUGUGCAGAUAUAUUUCAUCUGAUGCUUUCAUAAAUUCAAUUAUUGUUUGUGGGAUUCUGGGUGCAGAACAACAUGGUGCUCAUCAUAAUCGAUGCCUGUUGUUUUAUUCCUUUGCUGCAGACCAAAGUUUGCUUCCUUUUAAUCAAAGAUGCUAAGCAAUUUGAACUAAUUUAUGCAAUAUCUAGCUGACAAACCUGAGGUCGUAAAAAUGCUACUUUCAUUUUGGUUAAAUACAUCUUGUAACAAACCUAUGAGAAAACAAUUGGUAGUUCUUUAACUUCUAUUUUUUUUUGGAAAUGCUCUUGUUACAUAUUAAGCUGCCAACCCUGAAGGUUGAUUGAAAAUAUUCUGUUGUUAUUUUACGACCAUACUAUAGUUUGAUUGCUUGCUAUAAGAAAUAACCUUGUUACAUACUUCAGUUUUUGUAUUUCAGAAGAUGAACUGUUCUUUCAUAUCAUGAUCAUAUAGGAGGAUUAUAUUGAUUAGCUCAAUUUUUAUUAUUUUCCAUGAUUUUAAGACUGGUCAUCGCAUUUUGUCAUGAUCAUCCAAUAGUUGUCUCACAUGCGAGUAUAAAAAUAUCUAGGUUAUCAUUUAGCACAUACGUUAUGAUCUGACUGAUGGCAUAAACUUUAGGACACCUGUGAUAUUGCAUUGGCAGAUACAAACGUGAUAAACCUGGGUAUUGAAAAAGAGAGAUACAGUGCUAUUUACCUAAGUUAUUUAUUGAUCUCAAUCAAGGUUCAGAAUUUUAUUAAUUGAUAGACGCAGAAAGAAAGGGAGGCAAAGUGCUUUUUACAAGUUAUUUCUCGAGUUCUGUUCAAUUUUAAGCAAGCAUAGCGACGAUUGGGACAGGCUCCUAAUUGAAAAUGAGACCGAUGGUUUUACCAUGUUGUGUAGUUUGUAGACGCACUACAGUGAUUUGCAUGUUCAAAUAUAUGCAUGUUCAAAUAUAUGUAUUUGCUCUCCAACUUUUAUGGUAUAGUGAACCAUUGUGACUGCGUGACCUGAGCUUCUUCCUUCAUGUUAGCUUAGUUAAGCUGUUGGUUUAAGCUUUAUAUAACUAUGAACUGUAAGUAUACAUUUUGGCAGUAGUUCGUUAAAACAAUAAUUUGACCAACGUUUUGGCGUGAUACAUGGAGUAAAUUUUGCAAUGAUUCAGAUUCCCAUCUUAUUACAGAUAUCCCAGAACCACAAAUAAUCUUUAUCUUUUGUAUUGCAACCAAAUUUUUGUGAUCUUCCGUUUGCACAGGUAUCAUAUGCACCGAAGGAGUUACAACCUUCUCUCUGUAGACAACUUGUAGGCACGCCCUCUGCACUCUGCAGCUUCCCGCUCCAUAAAAGAGGCCGCUUCCAUUGAAUAUGUAUGCUUGCGUUAUGAAAGCCUUAGUGUGCUGAUCUAUGACAAGCUUAUCAGCAGAUUGAAUCUUGUCCUGGUCAUAUGGGUGUCAGUCUCCUGCAGCUGAAUGUAUGUUGCUUUCAUAAAUUUGUGUCUCCUUGGAGCCUGAUUAGAUCAUUACUUCUUAAUUUCCCUUAGGAUCAACCAAGUUAUUUAUCUCCUAUCAGUGUAUAAGUAGGCAUUCACCUGCAAAAGAAACUACUGGGUUCAGGUUAUAGCAUUACAGAAUAGGAUGUGAACUACAUAAGUGGCGAGAAUAGGAAUACCUCAAAAGCGACUUUCUUCUUAGUAUUUCACAUCCUAUAAUAAGAUAAGAUACAGAAAGUGAUUUUCAUAAAGUAAACUACAGAAUUCUUUGGGUUUCUCUAAAGCAUAUGAUGAAUUGCCUUUCUUCUUAGUAUUUCACAUCCUAUAAUAAGAUAAGAUACAGAAAGAGAUUUUCAUAAAUUAAACUACAGAAUUCUUUGGGUUGCUCUAAAGCAUAUGAUGAAUUGAGUACCUUUUCAUGAAUGUCCAGGAAUUUUUAUUGUUCAAAGGAGGCCCUUAAUCAAAAAACUAAUUUAUUCUUUUUCCAAGAUGUGUUGCGAUGACUGCGAGGACACUUGGCACCGUGACGCAAGAUCCAGAUCAUGCACCACCUCUCCGAGCAUCCACGCCGCUAUGAGGAUGCACUCUUAAUGCAUAUUUUCAUGGAGAUCUGAGGCGGUGGCUUGCUCUUCGACCUCAACGUGACCAAGGAGCACUACACCAAGUGUGAUGCCGCGAAGCUCAUCAAGACAAUCAUUUGGCUGUGGAGAGAUGCCACUUGCUUGUCGUCAUGCGCAUGGACCUCAAGCAGGAAACUUCUUGUUUGCUGGCACCGCCAAGGACAUGCCACUGAUUUUGGGCUAUCCAUGUUCUAGAAGCCUGAGCUUCUUGUGUGCCCUCCAAGUUUACUUUGGCAUGUUGAUCUUCCUGGGGUCCAUGGUGUACGACCCGCAAGAGAUCAUUUAGAGGGCGCACCACGACGACAUGGACUACAUCAAGCACGCGCUCACCCUCUUCACUGAUUUCAUCGCCGUCCUUGUCAGGAUCCUCAUCAUCAUGCUCAAGAACGCAGGUGACAAGUCAAAAGAAGGCGGGGAGAAGGAGGGGAGGAGGAGGAGGUCUUGAACAUUUCAUCUGCACAUAGUAGAUACUACUGCUACUACCACCAUCACUAAUGGUACCACCACACUACGUAAGAAGGCCGGUGAAGUAACUUGUGUGUGAGGAGGAGGAGGAGGUCUUGAACAUUUCCUCUGCACAUAGUAGAUACUACUGCUACUACCACCAUCCCUACUGGUACCACCUCUGCUACGUAAAAAAGCUGGUGCAGUAACUUGUGUGUGUUCACUCUGGUAAUUCGCGCGUGUGAAUCUGAUGCGACUUUGAAGCUUUUACUCACAGGGUUUUCAUUCCGGAUUUCCUGUACUCUUGCCGUGCUUCAUGAAUUGGUUGAAUCGUGGAAGCAUUCGUAAGUGAAAUGGUUUCUGUUGUAUGAUUGCUCGUGUGUUUGUGGUUUGAACUUUGCACUGUUGAUUCAUUUUUGCGUUGAAUGCAUCUUUGUGUUGUUUAAAUUUUAUUGGAUGUCCCUGAAGGUUCUGCCAAAUGCAUCUGAUGCAUGUGCUGCAGCCUUGUGUUGAUGAGCUAUGUUAUUGUUGUGGUUGGCUCGCUGGGUCGU
This is a long non-coding RNA of Lolium perenne, 4329 nucleotides long. RefSeq lists it as uncharacterized. The record is from RefSeq and is a predicted model, not a curated record. Lineage: Eukaryota; Viridiplantae; Streptophyta; Magnoliopsida; Poales; Poaceae.